UUCACUCCUGUAAAGUUAUAGAAAAUGUCAAUCAACCCAGAAGGUUCCUCAUGCUUCUUCCAGAUCUGUUUGGAGGCAUACUGCCCCUCCCAUCCCAGCAACCAGGCAACACUGAUUAGCUUUGCUCCAGACUUUCCUGCAGUUGGAGUUGUAGGGUGCUCGUGGGACAGAGCCAUCCCUGGAGUAGUGUUUUGAAGAGUCUGUGUCCUCCAGACCCCGGGAACAACGUUCUGCAGAUGCCCCCCUGGGUGAAGGAUAAAGACAGGUUCUCACUGAGUUGCUUAGCACCUCGCUGUUGCUGAGGCUGGCUUUGAACUCCUGAUCCUCCUGCCUCAAUCUCCCUAGCUGAUGGGAUUACAGGUGUGUGCCACCACACCCAGCAAACUUAACAUGCAGCUAAGAAGACAAAAUUGGAAAAAGGUGCAGCUGCUCCCCCUGGAACCCUGUGGCCUCCUGUUCAAAGCUCCUGCUUGCCAGCCGGGGAAACAAGACUAAGGGUGGAAAAGCUAUUUGCUGGAAUCCUUCAAUGGGAAGAGAAGCAAGGAGGACACUUCAAACAGAACCCGGCUG
Marmota monax (woodchuck) is the source of this 570-nucleotide long non-coding RNA. RefSeq lists it as uncharacterized. The transcript is spliced from 4 exons. Lineage: Eukaryota; Metazoa; Chordata; Mammalia; Rodentia; Sciuridae. The record is from RefSeq and is a predicted model, not a curated record.